AUAAAUGUAAUAUUAGUUUUACAAAUAGUACUAUGCAAAUUAAUGAUUUCAUUUUUAUUUUAUUAGAGGGU
This 71-nucleotide transfer RNA is filed under the name Trigomphus nigripes. RNAcentral's name for it is "tRNA-Leu". Lineage: Eukaryota; Metazoa; Arthropoda; Insecta; Odonata; Gomphidae. The record is from RNAcentral.